GGUAGAUGGCGGAAUCGGUAGACGCACCACACUCAAAAUGUGGCGGAAACGUGAGGGUUCGAGUCCCUCUCUAC
Molecule: transfer RNA, 74 nt
Filed under: uncultured eukaryote
Lineage: Eukaryota
Rfam family: tRNA
About the family: Transfer RNA (tRNA) molecules are approximately 80 nucleotides in length. Their secondary structure includes four short double-helical elements and three loops (D, anti-codon, and T loops).
Source: RNAcentral